Eurytemora carolleeae is the source of this 432-nucleotide long non-coding RNA. RefSeq lists it as uncharacterized. The transcript has 2 exons. The record is from RefSeq and is a predicted model, not a curated record. Lineage: Eukaryota; Metazoa; Arthropoda; Copepoda; Calanoida; Temoridae.
UUUAUAGCACGUCGUGCCAAAAUAAUAGUGUCAUAGGUAAUUUUUUGAAAUGUGUGUGUACUUUUCUUAUUUCAAUGCUAUAGAUCACACAAGCUUUGCUAUAAUGUACAGCUAAUUUAACUUCAUUGCACGAUGAUUGCUUUAUAACACAUUUAUUAUAAAAUUCACGAUGAAGUGAGGAAGAAUGAUAAAGUGCACAAUAGUUUCAUAAAAAUGUUAACAUGGUUACUUCAUCUUUUUCACAAAAAAAGCUCAAUAUAGUUAAAUUGACAAUCCAGAUUUUACCGUGACCCUCCAUGCAAAGAUAGGUCACUUGAAAUUAUGCUUACAGUUCCUUAAGCGUGUAUUUAAGAUAAACAUCAUGAACGUUUUUUUUUUAAAUAUUCUGUUAAAGUAUUAGAUUUAUCCCAAAUAUACAAUGUUUAUUUUUUA